UACGGAGGGUGCAAACGUUGCUCGGAAUCAUUGGGCGUAAAGCGCUUGUAGGCGGCCUGUCAAGUCGCGUGUGAAAUCCCUUGGCUUAACCAAGGAAGUGCGCGCGAAACUGGCGGGCUUGAGUGCCGGAGAGGGUCGCGGAAUUCCCGGUGUAGAGGUGAAAUUCGUAGAUAUCGGGAGGAACACCAGUGGCGAAGGCGGCGACCUGGACGGACACUGACGCUGAGACGCGAAAGCGUGGGGAGCAAACAGG
This 253-nucleotide ribosomal RNA is filed under the name uncultured bacterium. Its description in RNAcentral is "partial 16S ribosomal RNA". It matches the Rfam family "Bacterial small subunit ribosomal RNA", at positions 524 to 776 of the family's 1533-position model. The record is from RNAcentral.